CCUGGUGGCUCAGAGUUUAAAGCGUCUGCCUGCAACGCGGGAGACCCAGGUUCUAUCCCUGGGUCAGGA
This 69-nucleotide transfer RNA is filed under the name Ovis aries (sheep). It matches the Rfam family "tRNA". From Rfam's summary of the family: Transfer RNA (tRNA) molecules are approximately 80 nucleotides in length. Lineage: Eukaryota; Metazoa; Chordata; Mammalia; Artiodactyla; Bovidae. The record is from Rfam by way of RNAcentral.